This is a long non-coding RNA of Balaenoptera ricei (Rice's whale), 1076 nucleotides long. RefSeq lists it as uncharacterized. The transcript has 4 exons. Lineage: Eukaryota; Metazoa; Chordata; Mammalia; Artiodactyla; Balaenopteridae. The record is from RefSeq and is a predicted model, not a curated record.
UGCAAUAACGGAGUGUUCUCUCUCCGAAAUCCUACCUCAGGGUCUUCACAGCAACCCUGUGAGAGAGGAAGCACCACAAAUAAUAAAUUACUUUUUCUGCAGAAGGGGAAACGGAACCGUGAGACAGGGAGUCCUUGCCUGAGGUUGCGUAGGAAGUAGAGACCACACUGAUUUACAGGUCGGAGGUCUCCUAACUGGGUUCUACUCUUCUCACCUGCGCCCUCCUCAUCUAGGUCUGUUCACGUCUCAACAGCCACGCCCCAGACCUCAGUCUAGGUCCUAAGGCCGUCCUAGUGCACGAGUUACAUAUCCCCUGGUCUCAGACGGGCAAACGAGCGCAAAGAGUGACAACGAUGUGGCAGAGAUGGAGUUGAAAGAAGGAGAGCUAGUGGAAAGUAUGUACCAGGAAUAGGUAGAUCCUGAGAUCCUGAGGCUUCCUUACUGACAUGCGGACACAUGGUGGCUGUCAGCUAGGACCUCUGUGGGAACUAUCAGCUGGAACACAUUUACAUAGCCUCUCCCUGUGGCCUGAGCUUCCUCACAGCACAGCAGCUGGGUUUCGAAGUUGAGUAUCCCAAGAAAUAGACUGAUAGAAGCUGCAUGGCCUCUUCUCACUUAGCCUUGGAAGUUACAGAGUGUAACCACAGACGAUGAAGCGUUACUCUUGAGGAUUUAACAAGGAAGGAGAAAGAAAGACCCACAUUUCUGGGUGAAGUCUUUGCCCCUCUAUGUGGAAAAGUGGAUUGCGACUGUUCUCAAGUCUCAGCUCAGACAAGAAUCAAGACAUAUACACAUCGGGCUUCCCUGGUGGCACAGUGGUUGAGAAUCUGUCUGCCAAUGCAGAGGACAUGGGUUCAAGCCCUGGUCUGGGAAAAAUCCCACAUGCUGUGGAGCAGCUAAGCCCGUGCGCCACAACUACUGAGCCUGCACUCUAGAACCCACAAGCCACAACUCCUGAGCCCACGUGCCACAACUACUGAAGGCCGCGCACCCAGAGUCCAUGCUCUGCAACAAGAGAAGUCACCGCAAUGAGAAGCCCAUGCACUGCAACGAAGAGUAGUCCCUGCUCACCGCAA